UAUGGAGUGAAUGAAAAGUGCAGUCAGGAUGCCACUCUGAAAAGACGACAAUGAGAAAACAUGUGCAGUUGACCGUUAGCAGUCAGCCUCAGAUCACAUUCCUCAGCACCAAAAAGUGUUAAAAAAAAUGAUUCUAGAAGACAAUUUAGGCGAUACAACAACUUUUAGUUAACACUUCACGGAGCGGACAGUCUCCUUUCAGAGAACUGCAAAAUGAGGUGGAAGGCAGGGAGCUUUCAUAGGAUGAAGAACAAAGAACAAGAAAAACACAAAGAAAACACAUCUGAUAGUCUGGGGCCUCCGAGUCCACCUUGUUUGGGGUGAGAAGGAACAAGGAAGUAAGUGGAGAGCCCAGAGUUGGCCUGGCCUUUGGGAAUUGGCUGACGGGAUACCCUGCAUUUCUGGUCAGCAGGAACACCUACGGAAACAGGAAAGCUAUCCGUUUCUCUUUGCUGAUGUAGCACCUUAGGCAGAAAUGGCUCCCUCGUGGGCCUAGAAAGUUAUUUCAACACUGUGUAACAGAUUACUCCCAAAUUUAGCAGCUUAACACAAGAAAUAUUCAUUACCUCACAGUUUCUGUGGGUCUGAAAUCCGGCGGUGGCUUACCUGGUGGUUCUGGCUCAGGGUCUCUUUAGGAAGUUGUAGUCAAACUGUCAGCCAGGCUGCAGCUGGAGAAGGAGACUCCACUUCGGGUCCUUGCCACUAGGGCCUCUCCACAGGGCUGCUCACAACAUGGCGGCUGUCCUCUCCUGAGCUAGUGAUCCAAGAGACAGGGCAGGUAAGAGUCCCUGAUGGAAGCUGCCCGUCACUUCUGCACUGUUAUUGGUCACACACACCAACCCUGCUGCAGUGUGAGAGGGGACCACACAAAGGAAAACCUUGAUCUUGGAUGAAGUGAACCAUCUGCCUUCUUUGUGUCUGUAUGAGGACUACCAAGCUGCUGGAGGAAAAUUGCACACUUCAACAGUCUCUGUAAACUCACCAUCACCAACUUCACAUGGAUUUCAACCUACCUGGCAAUCCUGCAGCCUGGCUUCUGCUACCACUCCACUGAAGCUGGUCUUACCAACAUCAUCACUGACCUUGAUAAUGACAGCAUUGUUAUCAUAAUAGCCACUUGGUCUCCUUAUUGCCUUCCAACAACAUUUAAAACAGCCGACAGCUUUUUUUACAUUCUGUCCUUGGCUUUCAUAACAUAUGGAGUAAUUGCGUCCUUGAGACUUUGCCCAAUGCCCGCUUUUCACUCUGCG
This 1250-nucleotide long non-coding RNA is filed under the name Equus caballus (horse). RNAcentral's name for it is "lncRNA (ENSECAG00000056984.1)". The record is from RNAcentral. Lineage: Eukaryota; Metazoa; Chordata; Mammalia; Perissodactyla; Equidae.